AGCGAACGCUGGCGGCAGGCCUAACACAUGCAAGUCGAACGAACUCUUCGGAGUUAGUGGCGGACGGGUGAGUACCACGUGGGAACGUGCCUUUUGGUUCGGAAUAACUCAGGGAAACUUGUGCUAAUACCGAAUGUGCCCUUCGGGGGAAAGAUUUAUCGCCAUUAGAGCGGCCCGCGUCUGAUUAGCUAGUUGGUGAGGUAACGGCUCACCAAGGCGACGAUCAGUAGCUGGUCUGAGAGGAUGACCUGCCACACUGGGACUGAGACACGGCCCAGAAUCCUACGGGAGGCAGGAGUGGGGAAUCUUGCGCAAUGGGGGAAAGCCUGACGCAGCCAUGCCGGGUGAAUGAUGAAGGUCUUAGGAUUGUGAAAUUCUUUCACCGGGGACGAUAAUGACGGUACCGGGAGAAGAAGCCCCGGCUAACUUCGUG
Molecule: ribosomal RNA, 433 nt
Filed under: uncultured bacterium
Lineage: Bacteria
Description: partial 16S ribosomal RNA
Rfam family: Bacterial small subunit ribosomal RNA
Source: RNAcentral